This 218-nucleotide unclassified non-coding RNA is filed under the name Melitaea cinxia (Glanville fritillary). Its description in RNAcentral is "misc RNA ENSMCXG00005007432.1". Lineage: Eukaryota; Metazoa; Arthropoda; Insecta; Lepidoptera; Nymphalidae. The record is from RNAcentral.
UGUAUUAACGUUUAAUGGUGGUCAAUUUUUUUAUAAUAUAUUCUUAUAAACGUUUUAUUUAUUUAUUUAUUUUUUCUUAUUUGUUUUGUUAUAUAACCAGAUCAGUAAACAAGCGUACGUCUCAAUUGAUGGUAAGCGAUUGCCGUAAGUUAUAGAUGCAUCGCUAGCACGUUGCCAACCCUAUCCCCAAUUCCGGCCAUGAGCUCUGGUCACCUUAC